Long non-coding RNA from Cervus elaphus (red deer), 644 nucleotides. RefSeq lists it as uncharacterized. The record is from RefSeq and is a predicted model, not a curated record. The transcript is spliced from 3 exons. NCBI's taxonomy places the organism in Eukaryota, Metazoa, Chordata, Mammalia, Artiodactyla, Cervidae.
UCAGACGUGUACUCUGCAGAAUUGAAGCUGCUUCUUUGAAUUUGCAAUUCAACAUGUAAUUUCACCACAGGGCUUGGUAAAAAGAGGAAUAAAACCUCUGUCUUUAGAUUUACAGUCUAAUGCUUCACUCAGCCAUUUUACCUAUGUUCAUCAACCGCUGAUUAUUUUCAACUAAUCAUAAAGACAUUGGCACCCUGUAUUUAUUAUUUGGUGCCUGGGCAGGCAUAGUAGGAACAGCCCUAAGCCUACUGAUUUGUGCUGAACUGGGUCAACCUGGAACCCUGCUCAGAGAUGACCAAAUUUAUAACGUAAUUGUAACUGCACAUGCAUUUGUAAUAAUUUUCUUCAUAGUAAUGCCAAUUAUAAUUGGAGGAUUUGGCAAUUGACUAGUUCCCCUAAUAAUUGGUGCCCCUGAUAUAGCAUUCCCUCGGAUAAAUAAUAUAAGUUUCUGGCUCCUCCCUCUUUUUUUUUACUACUUCUAGCAUCAUUUAUAGUUGAAGCUGGAGCAGGAACAGGCUGAACUGUAUAUCCCCCUCUAGCUGGUAAACUAGCCCACGCAGGGGCUUCAGUGGAUCUAACUAUUUUUUCUCUACACCUGGCAGGUGUCUCCUCAAUUCUAGGGGCCAUUAAUUUCAUUACAACAA